GACAGAGGUUGCAAGCGUUGUUCGGAAUUACUGGGCAUAAAGCGCACGUAGGCGGUCCGCUAAGUCAUGUGUGAAAUCCCCCGGCUCAACCGGGGAAUGGCGCCUGAUACUGGCGGACUCGAGAUCGGUAGGGGUGAGUGGAACUCCAGGUGGAGCGGUGAAAUGCGUAGAUAUCUGGAGGAACACCGGUGGCGAAGGCAGCCAUCUGGACCGACACUGACGCUGAGGCGCGAAAGCGUGGGGAGCAAACAGG
This 253-nucleotide ribosomal RNA is filed under the name uncultured bacterium. RNAcentral's name for it is "partial 16S ribosomal RNA". It matches the Rfam family "Bacterial small subunit ribosomal RNA", at positions 524 to 776 of the family's 1533-position model. The record is from RNAcentral.